This 260-nucleotide unclassified non-coding RNA is filed under the name uncultured Dothideomycetes. RNAcentral describes it as "sequence contains 5.8S rRNA gene, ITS2, 28S rRNA gene". The record is from RNAcentral. Lineage: Eukaryota; Fungi; Ascomycota; Dothideomycetes.
AACGCACAUUGCGCCCUUUGGCAUUCCGAAGGGCAUGCCUGUUCGAGCGUCAUUACAACCCUCAAGCGCCAGCUUGGUGUUGGGCGUCUUCUUGCUGGGCGGCCUUCUGCGGCCCAGCUCGCCCCAAACUCAUCGGCGUCCGGCGGUGGGUCCUUUGCGCGUAGCAGAAACGUUCGCGCUGGGGCCGUGCCGCGGGGCUGCUGCAACCGCACUUUUUCGUUUUUGACCUCGGAUCAGGUAGGGAUACCCGCUGAACUUAA